Molecule: non-coding RNA, 1260 nt
Organism: Pelobates cultripes (western spadefoot toad)
Lineage: Eukaryota; Metazoa; Chordata; Amphibia; Anura; Pelobatidae
Source: the annotation of a GenBank genome assembly
GUUAUGGUAGCCGUGCAGUGGUUAUGGUACUGUCAGUGGUUAUAGUAGCCGUGCAGUCGUUAUGGUGGUACUCGCAGUGGUUAUGGUGGUAGCCGUGCAGUGGUUAUGGUGGUACUCGCAGUGGUUAUGGUUGCGCAGUCAGUGGUUAUGGUACUAUCAGUGGUUAUGGUGGCAGCCGUACAGUGGUUAUAGAACUGUCAGUGGUUAUGGUACUGUCAGUGGUUGUAGCCGUGCAGUGGUUAUGGUACUCGCAGUGGUUAUGGUGGUACAGUCAGUGGUUAUGGUGGUACUUGCAGUGGUUAUGGUGGUAGCCGUGCAGUGGUUAUGGUGGUAGCCGUGCAGUGGUUAUGGAACUGUCAGUGGUUAUGGUACUAUCAGUGGUUAUGGUGGUAGCCGUGCAGUGGUUAUGGUGGUAGCCGUGCAGUGGUUAUGGUACUCGCAGUGGUUAUGGUGGUACAGUCAGUGGUUAUGGUGGAAGCCGUGCAGUGGUUAUGGUGGUAGCCGUGCAGUGGUUAUGGUGGUACAGUCAGUGGUUAUGGUACUGUCAGUGGUUAUGGUACUGUCAGUGGUUAUGGUGGUAGCCGUGCAGUGGUUAUGGUACAGUCAGUGGUUAUGGUACAGUCAGUGGUUAUGGGACAGUCAGUGGUUAUGGUGGUAGCCGUGCAGUGGUUAUGGUAGCCGUGCAGUGGUUAUGGUGGUAGCCGUGCAGUGGUUAUGGUACUCGCAGUGGUUAUGGUGGUACAGUCAGUGGUUAUGGUGGUACAGUCAGUGGUUAUGGUGGAAGCCGUGCAGUGGUUAUGGUGGUAGCCGUGCAGUGGUUAUGGUGGUAGCCGUGCAGUGGUUAUGGUAGCCGUGCAGUGGUUAUGGUGGUAGCCGUGCAGUGGUUAUGGUACUCGCAGUGGUUAUGGUGGUACAGUCAGUGGUUAUGGUGGAAGCCGUGCAGUGGUUAUGGUACUGUCAGUGGUUAUGGUACAGUCAGUGGUUAUGGUGGUAGCCGUGCAGUGGUUAUGGUGGUAGCCGUGCAGUGGUUAUGGUACUCGCGGUGGUUAUGGUGGCGGUUACCUUGGUGCUGGGGUCCGGGUCCCGGCACACGCGGUAAGUCUCCUCAUCGCUCAGACCGCUCAGCUCCGGCUGCUCCGCCAUGUCCGCCUCACACACUGACAGAGCGGCAGCCAAUCACAGCAAUCCUCCCAGCAACACCCGCCUUAACACGCCCACAGCUCGACAGCCAAUCACAGCGCGGGAUUCGGAGACAGCCAG